GAAGUCUGUAGAAAGCUGUGAGCCGGAGCUGAUGAAGUCUUGUGCCUCCCCACGUCUGUAAAUCCAGGCGGAGCCACCACACCCUGGAAGCAGCACUCUCGCAUCUUGGAAUCGGCUCCCUCCAGAAGGGCAGAGAUGUUUCCGGAGACUCAAGAUCUGCCCCUCCUCCUUAAAUCCCAUGUGAUUAAAAAAACAAACAAACCUGAGACCACCACAGGGAUGGGAAGACCAGCAUCUGAAACACCCAAACAUAUUGGGUGCUUCUGAGGAUUUCAGAAUUUGAAAAGGUCAAAAGACAGAAGCCGAAGGUCAGAAGUGAGGAUGACGAAGCGAAGGCAAGAGGGACAGAUUUCUGUAAAAGCCUCAGAGAGGCAAAACUCAGAAGGACCUGAAAGUUCACCCCAAUGCAAAGAACAGCACAAGGACUGCGGAAAUGCGUCUGGGACAGCCAGGUAUACCACCGAGACAGUGACCGUUGAACGUUCCUUCCUCAAAACUCGUGCAAAACACAACUCAACUGACCCAAGUCAUUGCGCCAUUUUCUUCUGAAACUGGAGCAGUUGUGGGAAAAAGAAGAGGUGACAGAGAUGCUCUAGCUGAGAUGCGACAGCUGAUGAACCAAACAGGCUAACUGUAAAAAGACAUUGUUUGAGAAAAGUGGGGAAAUCCGGACAGGUACUGGAUGAAGUACUGCUUAUUUUCGUGACUGUGAUAAGGCACUGAGGUUCUGUAGGAAAAUGCUUUCUCAAAUGUGUCGGGAUGAAAUGACUUGUCCUGGCUGUGUCAUUAAAAGAGGGGAUAUGAAAAUGUAGCCCUUGGAGUUGCAAAGAGUCGGACACGACCUAGUGACUGAACAAUGAAAAUGUAGCAAGAUUUUUGUAAUUGUUUUAGGUGGAUGAUGAGUAAAGGGCAUUGAUUAUAUAAUGCUCUUCCUUUCUGGUGUAUGCUUGAGAAGUUUCCUAAUUAAAUAACAAAAAAGUUGAUUCAGACCCUGGAUGUGAUACCCAUCUUCUCAGGUCCACUCACUCACCCGCCCCAGCUCCUGCUGGCCCCCGACUGUUAGAG
Molecule: long non-coding RNA, 1065 nt
Filed under: Bos mutus (wild yak)
Lineage: Eukaryota; Metazoa; Chordata; Mammalia; Artiodactyla; Bovidae
Description: lncRNA (ENSBMUG00000020841.1)
Source: RNAcentral